Salmo salar (Atlantic salmon) is the source of this 54-nucleotide non-coding RNA. Lineage: Eukaryota; Metazoa; Chordata; Actinopteri; Salmoniformes; Salmonidae. The record is from Rfam.
AAUGCACCAAUUUGUAAGUCGCUCUGGAUAGGAGCGUCUGCUAAAUGACUUAAA